AUUGAACGCUGGCGGCAUGCUUUACACAUGCAAGUCGAACGGUAACAGGCCGCAAGGUGCUGACGAGUGGCGAACGGGUGAGUAAUGCAUCGGAACGUGCCCAGUCGUGGGGGAUAACUACUCGAAAGAGUAGCUAAUACCGCAUACGAUCUAUGGAUGAAAGCGGGGGACCGUAAGGCCUCGCGCGAUUGGAGCGGCCGAUGUCAGAUUAGGUAGUUGGUGGGGUAAAGGCUCACCAAGCCAACGAUCUGUAGCUGGUCUGAGAGGACGACCAGCCACACUGGAACUGGGACACGGCCCAGACUCCUACGGGAGGCAGCAGUGGGGAAUUUUGGACAAUGGGCGCAAGCCUGAUCCAGCAAUGCCGCGUGCAGGAAGAAGGCCUUCGGGUUGUAAACUGCUUUUGUACGGAACGAAACGGCUCUGGUUAAUACCCGGGGCUAAUGACGGUACCGUAAGAAUAAGCACCGGCUAACUACGUG
RNAcentral lists this ribosomal RNA (482 nucleotides) under uncultured bacterium. Its description in RNAcentral is "partial 16S ribosomal RNA". It matches the Rfam family "Bacterial small subunit ribosomal RNA", at positions 30 to 507 of the family's 1533-position model. The record is from RNAcentral.